RNAcentral lists this ribosomal RNA (568 nucleotides) under uncultured archaeon. RNAcentral describes it as "bacterial SSU rRNA". It matches the Rfam family "Archaeal small subunit ribosomal RNA", at positions 311 to 879 of the family's 1478-position model. The record is from RNAcentral.
CCGCGAUUCGCCCUUCGGGGUGCAGCAGGCGCGAAAACUUUACAAUGCUGGCAACAGCGAUAAGGGGACCUUGAGUGCCGGGAUACAAUCCUGGCUGUCGUGAUGCCUAAAAAGCAUUAUAUAGCAAGGGCCGGGCAAGACCGGUGCCAGCCGCCGCGGUAACACCGGCGGCUCGAGUGGUAACCGCUAUUAUUGGGUCUAAAGGGUCUGUAGCCGGCUUGGUUAGUCUCUUGGGAAAUCCGGCAGCUUAACUGUCGGGCUUUCAGGAGAUACUGCCAGGCUCGAGACCGGGAGAGGUGAGAGGUACUUCAUGGGUAGGGGUGAAAUCUUGUAAUCCUUGAAGGACCACCAGUGGCGAAGGCGUCUCACCAGAACGGAUCUAACGGCAAGGGACGAAAGCUAGGGGCACGAACCGGAUUAGAUACCCGGGUAGUCCUAGCCGUAAACGAUACUCGCUAGGUGUCGGCCACGGUGCGACCGUGGUCGGUGCCGUAUGGAAGCCGUGAAGCGAGCCACCUGGGAAGUACGGCCGCAAGGCUGAAACUUAAAGGAAUUGGCGGGGGAGCAC